ACGUAGGGUGCAAGCGUUAAUCGGAAUUACUGGGCGUAAAGCGUGCGCAGGUGGUCGUGCAAGACAGAUGUGAAAUCCCCGGGCUUAACCUGGGAACUGCAUUUGUGACUGCUCGACUCGAGUGCGGCAGAGGGGGAUGGAAUUCCGCGUGUAGCAGUGAAAUGCGUAGAUAUGCGGAGGAACACCGAUGGCGAAGGCAAUCCCCUGGGCCUGCACUGACACUCAUGCACGAAAGCGUGGGGAGCAAACAGGAUUAGAUACCCUGGUAGUCCACGCCCUAAACUAUGUCAACUGGUUGUUGGGAGGGUUUCUUCUCAGUAACGAAGCUAACGCGUGAAGUUGACCGCCUGGGGAGUACGGCCGCAAGGUUG
Molecule: ribosomal RNA, 371 nt
Filed under: uncultured bacterium
Lineage: Bacteria
Description: bacterial SSU rRNA
Rfam family: Bacterial small subunit ribosomal RNA
Source: RNAcentral